GCCGGGAAACUCGCCCAAGGAUGACGAUCCGACGAAUGGUGUUGGACUGGUUGUCGGGAAAGACGACGGCUGCGGCGGAAGGCGCAUCCUUCGUCGUGGCGAGCAUGAGUUUUUCUAAUCUGCGGCUCAGCGAUGUCCAUAAGACAGACACGUAGAAGCACCAGGCACUGUUGCAUUAAAGCGGACCGUCUCAGAAAUUCAACGAUAUUUCUGUCACCGUCUCUCUGUCACCAAGGCAAGAUUUCAAUUGAUGGAGCACAUUCGUGCGUUUUUCUUUAAAACUCAUCGAUCCCGAUCCAUCUAAUUUUUUUGUUUGGCAAGUAACAAGAAGUGAAAAGUUUGGAGCAGCAGGAUUUUCCUCGUCGCAAAAUUUUCCUGACGAAGUCGGAAGGAAAUCUCGGCGGUAUUCGGUGAGUGGCCUGGCGUCUGGGUAUCACGCGAAAAUUGAGAUCGCAAUUAGGCGCACAAUAAUAAUGAGUGAGUCCGUAAAAGUCACGUCACAGCAACUAACCCGUAUGUC
Linepithema humile (Argentine ant) is the source of this 520-nucleotide long non-coding RNA. RefSeq lists it as uncharacterized. Lineage: Eukaryota; Metazoa; Arthropoda; Insecta; Hymenoptera; Formicidae. The record is from RefSeq and is a predicted model, not a curated record.